UACAGAGGGUGCAAGCGUUGUCCGGAUUUAUUGGGCGUAAAGAGCUCGUAGGCGGUUCGGCAAGUCGGAUGUGAAAUCUCCACGCUCAACGUGGAGGGGCCAUUCGAAACUGCCGUGACUCGAGUCCGGUAGGGGAGUGUGGAAUUCCCGGUGUAGCGGUGAAAUGCGUAGAGAUCGGGAAGAACGCCAAGGGCGAAGGCAUCUGCUAGGCCUAUUU
Molecule: ribosomal RNA, 217 nt
Filed under: uncultured bacterium
Lineage: Bacteria
Description: partial 16S ribosomal RNA
Rfam family: Bacterial small subunit ribosomal RNA
Source: RNAcentral